AAAAAUAAUGUUAUCACGCUAUUCAAAGGGUUGGAAGAGUCUUGUUUGGAGUUGUGUGGGGUUGAAUAAAUAUAUUUGUAAUAAUUCAGAAGUUGGCAGAAAAAGAAAAGAAAAAUAGAAAAAGAAAAUAGAAAAGAAAAAAAAUGAAUUAAAAAAAUAGAAGGAUGUAAACAUACUUUUUAUGAAAAAGAAAAAAAGAAUAAAAAAAGAAAGGAGAAGAGAAAACAAUUGCUAUAUAGUUGUUGAAGUGAAUGAAAUCUUUUGUAAAUUCAACUCCCGCAGUUUCUUU
Molecule: long non-coding RNA, 289 nt
Filed under: Lathyrus oleraceus (garden pea)
Lineage: Eukaryota; Viridiplantae; Streptophyta; Magnoliopsida; Fabales; Fabaceae
Description: Pisum sativum (pea) long non-coding RNA (PSAT_LNC012022)
Source: RNAcentral